CCAAUGUUUUGAAAACCGGACCGGACCGGCCGGUCGGACCGGUUUAACCGGGAACCGGAGCUUGAUCCGGUCCGGUUUGGUGCAGAAACCCGAAAGAGCCAAAAACCCGGGUGAAAGGCCAAAACCCGGAAAACCGCUUGGUCGAACCAGGAAACCGGAAACCGCUCACAAACCCGGUUUUCAGAAGAAAAAAAUGCAUUUUUUUUGCAAAAUAGAAAAGGAUUUACUGAUUCAAGGAUGAAAACUUACAAAUUCGAGAAUUAUGAGCAAAACUUGAAUAUUCACUUGAAGUAAUGGAAUAAAAAAUCUAUAUUUCAUAUGGGUUUUGAGAAACAUCUCAAACCCAGAUCUGAUCGGCGGAGUGAAAGGCACGGAUUUGGGGGGUGCGGACUGAGUUACGUUGUUUGCCGGAGGAAGAUAAAGCAGACGAAGAAGGGGAGGGGAGGCGGCUCUUUGAUUUUGCAGAGGAUGAAUCUAUAUUUUUACCUUUUCUUAUCUUG
This 500-nucleotide long non-coding RNA is filed under the name Erythranthe guttata (spotted monkey flower). RNAcentral describes it as "long non-coding RNA (EGUT_LNC003819)". Lineage: Eukaryota; Viridiplantae; Streptophyta; Magnoliopsida; Lamiales; Phrymaceae. The record is from RNAcentral.